GACGAACGCUGGCGGCGUGCUUAACACAUGCAAGUCGAACGGAAAGGCCCUGCUUUUGUGGGGUGCUCGAGUGGCGAACGGGUGAGUAACACGUGAGUAACCUGCCCUUGACUUUGGGAUAACUUCAGGAAACUGGGGCUAAUACCGGAUAGGAGCUCCUGCUGCAUGGUGGGGGUUGGUAUGUUUCGGCGGUUGGGGAUUGACUCGCGGCUUAUCAGCUUGUUGUUGUGGUAGUGGCUUACCAAGGCUUUGACGGGUAGCCGGCCUGAGAGGGUGACCGGCGACAUUGGGACGGAGAUACGGACCAGAAGCCUACGGGAGGCAGAAGGGGGGAAUAGUGCACAAUGGGCGGAAGCCUGAUGCAGAAACGCCGCGUGCGGGAUGACGGCCUUCGGGUUGUAAACCGCUUUCGCAUGUGACGAAGCGUGAGUGACGGUAAUGGGUAAAGAAGCACCGGCUAACUACGUG
Molecule: ribosomal RNA, 468 nt
Filed under: uncultured bacterium
Lineage: Bacteria
Description: partial 16S ribosomal RNA
Rfam family: Bacterial small subunit ribosomal RNA
Source: RNAcentral